This 66-nucleotide microRNA precursor is filed under the name Glycine max (soybean). RNAcentral's name for it is "miR4370 stem-loop (gma-MIR4370)". Lineage: Eukaryota; Viridiplantae; Streptophyta; Magnoliopsida; Fabales; Fabaceae. The record is from miRBase by way of RNAcentral.
CGGAGUAGACUCGUCCGAUUUUGCGUAGACUUGGACAAGUUUGGGUAGACUCGCGAGUCUGCUCCG